RNAcentral lists this ribosomal RNA (397 nucleotides) under uncultured bacterium. RNAcentral's name for it is "partial 16S ribosomal RNA". It matches the Rfam family "Bacterial small subunit ribosomal RNA", at positions 523 to 918 of the family's 1533-position model. The record is from RNAcentral.
AUACGUAGGGAGCAAGCGUUGUCCGGAAUUACUGGGCGUAAAGGGCGUGUAGGCGGCCGAUCAAGGCAGGUGUGAAAUUUCAGGGCUCAACGCUGAGCGUGCACUUGAAACUGGUUGGCUUGAGUGCAGAAGAGGAAAGUGGAAUUCCCAGUGUAGCGGUGAAAUGCGUAGAUAUUGGGAGGAACACCAGUGGCGAAGGCGACCUUCUGGUCUGUAACUGACGCUGAGGCGCGAAAGCUAGGGGAGCGAACAGGAUUAGAUACCCUGGUAGUCCUAGCCGUAAACGAUGGGUACUAGGUGUAGGGGGUUUAGACGCCCUCUGUGCCGCAGUUAACCCAUUAAGUCCCCCGCCUGGGGAGUACGGCCGCAAGGCUGAAACUCAAAGGAAUUGACGGGG